Long non-coding RNA from Quercus lobata, 769 nucleotides. RefSeq lists it as uncharacterized. The transcript has 3 exons. The record is from RefSeq and is a predicted model, not a curated record. Lineage: Eukaryota; Viridiplantae; Streptophyta; Magnoliopsida; Fagales; Fagaceae.
ACAUGUCACUCUGUCCUUCAACAAAACACUGCGUUUUGCCUCGCCAAAAACCACGUAUCUACUACGCACACACACAGAGAUACGUGUGUGCGCGCAACCAAACACAAUCUCCGGCGGCUACAGCAUAAACGGCGAUCAAUCUCCGGACUCAUUUCGACGGCCAGAUUGUAAUCCCGACGUUGACUACGGACUUUGUCAGGACUUGAUAAUAUAUUCCAGUGACAAAUUUUCACAAUGAAGACAAGGGCUUCAUGGUUUUAGCUGGUGAUGUUUUUGAUGGGCCUAUUAGAAAGGAUAUUGUGCAUUGUGUUGUACUAUGGCAGCUUGCAAAACGACAACAGCCCAUGUCGAGGCUGUGGAUAGGAAUGUAUCUUCUGAAGAAGAGGUUGAUGUGAAUAACAACUUCAUUGAUCCCCAAGCAGAGGACCGAGAAUUAAAAGGUCAGCUUUUGUGCAAGUACAGUGGAUAUUUAGGCAGUCUGAAGCAGGACUUCAUGAAGAAAAGGAAGAAAGGGAAACUGCCUAAAGAAGCCAGGCAACAGUUGCUGGAUUGGUGGAGCAGGCAUUACAAAUGGCCUUACCCAUCGGCACCUAUAACCGUACGACUUUGUUAAUGCCCAUUAAUGUUGUUGUGCAUAAGUUUAAUGAACAAGAUUAAUUUGUCUGUGGAGAACUGUUUUGUUUCAAAAAAAAAAAAACAAAACCACUUGUUAGACUCUCCCUUGAUGAGUGAAGUCCAACAAAGUGGGAUUUGUGACUUUUUAAAUGAG